CAAUAUUCUUGGGAUGUCUGGUGUGAAUUGCUUUCUUGAGGUCAUGCCACAACAUCUCAAUCGGGUUGAGGUCAGGACUCUGACUGGGCCACUUCAGAAGGCGUAUUUUCUUCUGUUUAAGCCAUUCUGUUGUUGAUUUACUUCUAUGCUUUGGGUCAUUGUCCUGUUGCAACACCCAUCUUCUGUUGAGCUUCAGCAGGUAGACAGAUGGCCUUAAGUUCUCCUGCAAAAUGUCUUGAUAAACUUGGGAAUUCAUUUUUCCUUUGAUGAUAGCAAUCCGUCCAGGCCCUGACGCAGCAAAGCAGCCCCAAACCAUGAUGCCCCCACCACCAUACUUCACAGUAGGGAUGAGGUUUUGAUGUUGGUGUGCUGUGCCUUUUUUUCGCAACACAUAGUGUUGUGUGUUUCUUCC
Molecule: non-coding RNA, 412 nt
Organism: Pelobates cultripes (western spadefoot toad)
Lineage: Eukaryota; Metazoa; Chordata; Amphibia; Anura; Pelobatidae
Source: the annotation of a GenBank genome assembly